GUACUUGCUUCGGCAGUACAUAUACUAAAAUUGGAACGAUACAGAGAAGAUUAGCAGGGCAGAUUAGCAUCCUUGCGCAGGGGCCAUCCCCUGCGCAAGGAUGACACGCAAAAUCGUGAAGCGUUCCACAUUUUU
RNAcentral lists this small nuclear RNA (135 nucleotides) under Bombyx mori (domestic silkworm). Lineage: Eukaryota; Metazoa; Arthropoda; Insecta; Lepidoptera; Bombycidae. The record is from RNAcentral.